RNAcentral lists this ribosomal RNA (468 nucleotides) under uncultured bacterium. Its description in RNAcentral is "partial 16S ribosomal RNA". It matches the Rfam family "Bacterial small subunit ribosomal RNA", at positions 28 to 507 of the family's 1533-position model. The record is from RNAcentral.
GACGAACGCUGGCGGCGCGCCUAACACAUGCAAGUCGAACGGAGCGGAGAGAAGCUUGCUUUUCUUAGCUUAGUGGCGCACGGGUGAGUAACGCGUGAGUAACCUGCCCUGGAGUGGGGGACAACAGUUGGAAACGACUGCUAAUACCGCAUAAGCCCACGAUCCGGCAUCGGAUUGAGGGAAAAGGAUUUAUUCGCUUCAGGAUGGACUCGCGUCCAAUUAGCUGGUUGGUGAGGUAACGGCCCACCAAGGCGACGAUUGGUAGCCGGACUGAGAGGUUACACGGCCACAUUGGGAAUGAGACACGGCCCAGACUCCUACGGGAGGCAGCAGUGGGGGAUAUUGCACAAUGGGGGAAACCCUGAUGCAGCGACGCCGCGGGGAGGAAGAAGGUUUUCGGAUUGUAAACUCCUGUCGUUAGGGACGAUAAUGACGGUACCUAACAAGAAAGCACCGGCUAACUACGUG